GACGAACGCUGGCGGCGUGCCUAAUACAUGCAAGUAGAACGCUGAAGAGAGGAGCUUGCUCUUCUUGGAUGAGUUGCGAACGGGUGAGUAACGCGUAGGUAACCUGCCUUGUAGCGGGGGAUAACUAUUGGAAACGAUAGCUAAUACCGCAUAACAAUGGAUGACACAUGUCAUUUAUUUGAAAGGGGCAAUUGCUCCACUACAAGAUGGACCUGCGUUGUAUUAGCUAGUAGGUGAGGUAAUGGCUCACCUAGGCGACGAUACAUAGCCGACCUGAGAGGGUGAUCGGCCACACUGGGACUGAGACACGGCCCAGACUCCUACGGGAGGCAGCAGUAGGGAAUCUUCGGCAAUGGGGGCAACCCUGACCGAGCAACGCCGCGUGAGUGAAGAAGGGUUUCGGAUCGUAAAGUUCUGUUGUAAGUCAAGAACGGGUGUGAGAGUGGAAAGUUCACACUGUGACGGUAGCUUACCAGAAAGGGACGGCUAACUACGUG
This 497-nucleotide ribosomal RNA is filed under the name uncultured bacterium. Its description in RNAcentral is "partial 16S ribosomal RNA". It matches the Rfam family "Bacterial small subunit ribosomal RNA", at positions 28 to 507 of the family's 1533-position model. The record is from RNAcentral.